AAUUGUUGAAAUGGUUAAAUCAAGAAGAUGAGUCAUACUUCGUUCCAAUACAAGUCUUAGAGUCAUACUCCAAGAUUGUCAUUUGAGUGACAUGUCUUAAAGAAGGUUUAAAACACUUGUCAAAUGUAAGAGUAAAAGUUUUCUACUCUUGUACAUUUGAAAUUGGUAAGUUGUGAUGUUUUGGAUAAAACAAAGACCAACUUAGGCCAAUUGGGUAAAGUGUUUUUCUUGAUUAGAAUCCGCACUAUCUCUUGGAUGUUUGACAAGGGAGUCUUAUAUGUCAAGAGGACAGUGGGAGUCUUAAAGGUCUUGAAAGUCUCAAGAAAUAAUCAAGAAUAAAACCUAAAGUUCUUCACUAGCACACGACUUGAGGUUUAUAACCUAUCGUGUUGACAUAUCUGUGCCCAUUCCAGUUAAAGUUGGCUUUGCAUAUGAGUUCUUAGAGUUCUCAGUUUGUUGCAUAACAACUUGGAAGCAAUGGCAGGCCCUUGAGCUGCCAGGUGGCAAGAAGUUAAGAUUGAGUUCAAUCCAUAUGGUUUUGGAUUUGUCAUUAUCUUUGUCUUGUGAUUAUGGUUUGACAAAUUCAUAUGGGUAGGAACUCAUACACCAUAUAAAUCUAAGUGUCAUAAGGUUUCUCUCCGAUUCAUGAAAAUGAUGGUGAGGAAACGCUUUCACUAAGUAGAUUUUACGAAGAUAUCAAUUGUGUUAUUUGCAUUUUCAAAAGUCGUUAGUGGAGCGCGUGUGGUUAACCGGCACACUAACAUGGACUUGUGAGAAAUGGCAAAUGCCUAAGCAAUUGAGACCAUGAUUACGGUAUCCCUUUUCAUGGUUCUUGAAAUUGCUUAGACACACAGGUGAGCUAUCUACGGAAAGGGUGUAUGAAUCUAAAUUUCAGACUGUCCAGCUGAUUUCUGAGUACAUGUCAAAGCUAGUGGGAGCAUAAGUGUUAUGCUAAUAAUCAUCAUGUUAGUGGGAGCAUGAUAAUUAUGAUAAGUAUUGCAAGUUAGCAAUGUUAAUUAUAGAAAACAAAAGUUUCAAUUGGGAAAAAGUUGUUUUGCUAUAAUUAAGGGAGAGGAAAUUAUGCUUCAUCUCAAAUCUAUAAGCUUAGAUCGUGAGGUUUUAAUCAUUUAGUCAAGGAUAUAUAUGAAUUUCAUGUUGGAAUGGCUCAACAUAAGGAAAUUCUGUAUAUGGGUCCAUUAUUUGCGUUCUAAAAUUCGAUUAUGAUUACGGCAUCCCUUUUCAUAAUCUGAAUUAUGAGAACUUGGCAAAUUGAAAUGGAAAUAUUAUAGCAAAAGACUGGUUUAGUCUUUAUGUAAGACAUCAUGAAUCGUGUCCCAUAUGCUUCGGAUAUAGGAUCGAUUACAUGUGCUAUAUUCAUCCGUUCUAAAAUUUUCCAAAUGCCUGGGGCAUUAAGAAGGGAAAAGGUUUAGAACUGGAUAUGACUAAAAGGAUUAAACAAUUGUCGAGGACAAUCUAAGGUUUACCAAAGAUUGGUUACUCAAGGACAAUUGGAAGUAUAGUGAUAAUUCUGGAAGGACCAUAUUGACAUAAUCUGUAAGGAGGCAACUCUUGUUCAGAAGUGAUAGUCAAAAUGGAAUCUGGAAAUGUUUCAAAGUUAGAAUUUUCAAUCUGUGUAAGAUUAAGGAAACUUAAUGCAAGAAGGAUAUUUCCAAGGAGUUGAUCUCCUUUGGAAUACUCUGUAAUGAUUGUUGCCAAGUCUUUGUGACUUUGUGCAUAAUCAUUACAAGAGGAUCAAUGCAUAUAAGUUUAGAAUCUAACAGAUUUCAGUAAAUGGCAUGAAUUUGGAAUUCUUGCAUUUGCAGUAAGGAUUUGGGAGUGUGAAAAGAGAAUCAUUGAAGUUAUGUUCAAUUGAUCUAGUUCACAAAGUAAAGAUCAUAGACAAACAUAGUAUGCAUACUUGGUGUGUGGCAUGACUAGUGUUUAAGAAAACAUAGUGUACAUGCUUGGAGCAUGGGACAACUAUUGUUUUAAAUUCAAGAAUAAAGUUGAUAGCUGAAACAGUAUACAAUGAAUAAUGUGUAAUCAUAUGGUGAUAAAUAAAAGGUGUUUUAUUUAUGUUCAAAGGGUUGAUACCAUAUUGGAUUCAAUUAUUAUUGUGUUUCACUUUGCAUGUUUUGACUUCCCGAAUAAACUAGGUUAUUCUUCCGGAAUGACUAAGUUAUUCAAACCAUCCACAGUCGGUCAUAUGUUGGAAGUAGAUAUGAAUUAAGACUGUCAUGGGUUGGCUUGUAGAGGUCUAAGGUGUUGGACAAAGGGCUACAACACUCAUGAGUGCUCAUAAGUUCUGAGUAUUGGAUUCAACCCGCGCUCAUUGGAAUCACUUCAUGGAUUUUAUCACGAGUGAUCAUGAGACGAUAAUAUCUUAUAUUCUUCAAACCUAGAGAUAUGAGUUGUUACUAUGAGUUGGUUGUACAUUGAUUGCACGAAAACGCAUUUGGUAACUCGGUGCUAUAAAACGUGCCUUUGUGUAUGAUUCAACAAGUAGUAGAACAAGCCAUAUGAGUCGAAGUUUAUCCAUUCCUUUUACCUUCGGGAUAAAAGCGAUAUCUGUGGGCCCCUCGAUGAUUUGAUGAUGACAAAUGGAAGUGCUCGGCCGGGCCAGGACUGAUUUGAUUUGUUCAAUUAGUCAGUCGUCAUAAAUCGGAAAUCGGGAAACAACAAAUGGACAGAGAGAAUGAUUAUAAUCCAUGUCUCAGUCCAUAUGAUAUCUAGAAUGGAGGAAUAUAUGAUCCCUUAUCUAAUGGACAAGUUCGUUGACAAGAUCAGAGUUCGACAGCAGCUUUAAGAGCUACGAUUGCCAGUUAGGUUUGAAGUCAUACGCAAUAAUAGUUUUAGACUUAUCCAAGUGGGAGACUGUUGGAUUAAUGUCUAAGUCCAUAACUAUAUUUGGUAUGUACUUGACCCGACCCGGCAUGGUCCAUUUGGGUUGCACUUCACCGACACAAUUUAUAUGGAUAAUCUUUUGAGAAUAGUAUGUUUAUGAUUAAUAUUAAUAUAUUAUAAGUUCUAAUAUAUUAAUAUGGAAUCAUAUUAUUUAAUUAGUAUUGAUCAAGAAUUAAUUUAGAAUUAAUUAAGUGAUCAAAAUGAACUAAUUAAAUAUGGACUCUUAUAUAUAUGGAAUGGGCCAAGUUCAUUUAGGUUGGGCUAAGCUUUCAUGGAUAGUCCAUGGAGUGUUUAACCCAUGGAUCCUAGGAAAUGAAAGGUCAUGGGUAUUAGGGUUUAACCCUAAUCCUCCAUACUAUAUAAAGAUGUCUUUGGUUGGUGAAAUUGGCACUAGUGUGGAUACACUAAAGAAGGGCUAGCCAAUUUCACUAGAGAGAACCAAGUAAUCAUAUUCUCUAAAGUAUUCCAAGGUGUCUUGGUGAUUUGUGAUUCCACUUGAGGCUUCCACACUAUUGGGGCUAAGCUCUUAAAGCUUGAAGACAUCAAGCUACAUCAAGAGGUAUGUAUUCUAUCUUGUUACAUUCAUAGUUUUGUAUGCUAGAUUAGGAUAAUACCUUGGAUGUUCUUAUUUGCAUGUAUAAUAGAGAAAAGAUAGAUCCAAGGUAUUUAGGGUUGCAUGUACACUUAGGAGUGUUAGAAUGCUCAAAACCCAACAGUUCUGAGAUUAUGUGUGCUGUUCUCAGACCUUCUGGAUGCAAAGUCAAUCGGUGACUUAUGGUUUUUGUUUUCUUCUCUAUACUCCUGAGCUUAUCUUAAACUAAUUCAUUUUGAAGACAAUCUUUUAUUUCCUUAGAUGUCUUUCUUUAGUAGGAUGUUUUGGGAAGUGAUAUAAAGAUACUGUGAUAACGGGCAGUCUAAAACAUGUGUAAGGGACUGAAUCUGAAUUGUCUAGACUUUGUGUUCAAUGUGUUGGUAGGCACGAAGGAUUUGACAAUGUGGAUUUAGAUAGAAUUGUUUGGACUGCCCAUACGAUGCUUCCGUAGAUUGAGCAGUGAGAUAAACACGGGAACCCACGGGAUACACAAAAUUAAUAUGCAUCUAGAAUAGUGAUUCAACUUUUCUUUGAUGUAUAGACUUAUGUCCUUAAUUCUGGUUCUGAUAGGAUGACUGGGGGAUUCUGAUAAAGUAGGUCUAUAGGAAAUUAUUUUCUUGCUUUCUAUCUGUCUAUCAUAUGUUGCUUCCUCUGCGUGAUUGGAAGAGAUCCGACCUGGAAUGCAACAUAUGCAAUUCUAUUUCUACGCACCUCCUUAUCUAUGAAAUUAUUUCUAUUUGUUAGUCAUAUGUUGUCUCCUCUGCGUGAAUGAAAUGAUCUGACCUGGAACAUAGCAUAUGCAAUAUUCUACCUCUCAAUCCCUCAAUCCUAGUUAGCCAUAUGUUGUCCCCUCUGCGUGAUUGAAAGAGAUCCAGCCUGGGACACAACAUAUGCACCUAUUUCUAAAUCUGACUUCCUCCUUAUUAAUUGUCUAUUCACCUAAAGUAAGGAGUUCUUUGGAAGUUCUUGAUAAUCAGGGUAUAUCGGGAAGUGGGGAACACGUUCUAGUGCAACUAAAAUUGAACCAUUUAGAGUUUGUCUGUAGAUCUCGUUGCUUAAUUUAAGUGGACAACAAUACCCGUGGUCGUCGUCAGCUAAAUGGUUUAUUUAGAAAAAUUUGUUGAUAUCCUUUGUGUUUAAGUGGACCAUAAUACCGACAAUUGACCAGAUCUAUUCAAGAAGGUGAUGGUACUGAUAAACAAAGUUAAGACUAUCUCACAAUUUUGACCCCAAAUAUUUUAGUUUUUCUUAAAUUUGUUCAUUGUUUUCCUCUAUGCACAAAUUUAGGGAGAGAAUCAAAAAUCAAACAAAAAUCAGAAAAUUAAAAAUCAAAAAAUAUUUUUGUUACCGUUUUGUGUGCUAAAUUUUCUUUUAGUUUUGUUUUGUCUUGAAAAGUAAAUUCGGAUGUAUAUGAAACUCAUGGAGUUUGUGUCGAAAAUUUCUGAGCCAAGGUUUCAUCCGUGAGCAUCGAAGAAUUCUCAUUCGAAGGAGCAAGAAAUGAAGAAUAUUCUUCCAACAUUCAAUCUUUCAACCCCAGAAGCAAGGUCAAGCUGUACUUGAAGAUUAUGUGACAGAUUGCAUUGAAGCCUCCUCAAUCAAUUUGCUGCUAUCUUGAGCCUGCUUAAGUGAUCAAGAAGAAUUGGUUUCUCUAUCAUUCUCUCUGAAGAUUCUCAUGUUGAAAGCGCUAUCUUCCAAGAAUCUUGUCAAGAAGCCUUCUCACCCAAUGUGCGUUCAAAUGUCAAAUUCUGAAGAAAAUCCCAACUAUUCAAGAUGAAUUCAUUCAUUGAAGAUUCAUCAAGUUCAUCUUGAAGCUAUAAGAAAUUGAAGAUUAAAGCUGAAGCCAAGCUCCAAAUGAAGAUUGACAAGAAAAGCCAGCUAAUUUUUAAGGGAAGCUUUUUGGGUCAAUUAGAAAAGAAAGCUAUAAACCAAGGGGGAGAUUGUUGGGUCAAAAAUAGUGUUUAUACUUUGCUUUUCUAGGAAAAUGUAUUUUUAUGUCUAGGACCAUAAACAACUCGGUGUUUACGGCUAUAUAUGUAUUUACAGUUGUGUGUACGGCCGCACACGGUUUUACGGUUGUAAACCCGUGUACGACCAACUAUAUAUAGGGUGAGGAGUGCAUGAGAGCAGAAGGCUAGAGAAGGAGAGUAUUUUGUAGAGAGUGAAACUAGAGAGAAGAAUAGUGUGUGUGUGUGUGUGUGUGUGUGUGAAUAUCUUGUAUGGAUCUUCAUUCAUAUCAUCAAUAGAUUAGAUUCAUCUUAUUCUUCUUCUCUUUCUCUUCUAUUUUGAUCUAGCAUCAUCCAUUUGAUUGGGAUUCCGGAUCAUCAAACAGAUCUGAUUGAUACACAACAAGAUUGGGGACUUACAAUCGGGGACCCAAUUUCCCCCUCUUCUUGAAGCGAAUCACACUCUUUUAGGGUGAGACCUUUAGUAGUACCAUGUCACCCACCUAGAACUCCAACUCAGAUCGGCGCCAAUCGACAUAACUCUUCUGCCGACUCUGAGUUGUCUGCAACUGCUGUAUGAUCUGUUGAACCCUCUCGAUAGUCUGCAGUACUACCUCUAUCCAUCCCAUCACUUUGUGACCAACCUCACCCCAACAAACUAGGGUGCAACAUCUCCGUCCAUACAACAGCUCAAAUGGUGGAGUACCAAUACUAGAAUGAAAGUUGUUGUUAUAGGAGAACUCAUCAAGUGGUAGGUAGGAGUCCCAGCUCCAACCGAAGUAAAAAACGUAGGCUCUCAGCAUAUCCUCGAGAGAUUGUAUAGUCUGCUCACUCUGUCUAUCUGUCUACAGAUGAUAAGUUGUACUGAAAUGCAACUGCAUGCCCAGUUCCUCGUGGAACUUCUGCCAGAAACAAGACGUGAAUUCAACAUCACGGUAUGAGACAAUAUAGACCGGUACCCCGUGGCGAGCAAAAAUAUCGCAGAUAUAAAUAUCGGCCAACUUCUCGGCCGAUGAGCUCUCUCGAAUGGGCAGAAAAUGGGCACUCUUGGUCAAUCGAUCCACGAUGACCCAAAUAGCGUCGAAGUCCCUUGCCGUCCUUGGUAGAAUGGUGAUAAAAUCCAUCCUGAUCUGCUCCCAUUUCCACAUGGGAAUCUUUAGAGGCUACAGCUUUCCAUGCAGCCUUUGUUGCUCGGCCUUGACCAUCCAGCAGGUCAAGCGCCUCUCAAAGUACCAUGCGAUCUCCCUCUUCAUGCAUGGCCACCAGUAACUCGGUCGCAAAUCAUGGUACAUCUUGGUGGCCUCCGGGUGAAUAGAGAAGCGAGACUUAUGAGCCUCCUCUAGAACAAUCUGUCUGACCCCACCAGACAUCAGAACCUAGACCCAACCGCAACGGGUCAACAAUCUGCGACUAUCCUGCACAAAUCGGGUUUUCUCGCCCCUGAUCCUCUCAAGCAUCCAAUUCUCUUGUCGCAUAUCCUCAGCCUGAGCUUCCCUAAUCAAGCUCACGAGUGGAGAAUCCAUAUAUAUACUCAUACAUGUAUCUGGAAUAGAAGAUCCAGCCGACUUGCGGCUUAGGGCGUCCACAACCAUAUUCUCUUUACCAGUAUUGUAAAGGAUCUCGUAGUCUUAAUCCUUGACUACAUGCAGCCACCUGCGUUGUCUCAUGUUCAGGUUCGUCUGAUACAUGAUGUGUCUCAGACUCAUGUGGUCCGUGUAUAUGGUAUAGUAGACCCUACACUACUAGAAAAACAACCUUUUACGACGUGCAAUGGGUGUCAUAAGACACUCAGACGACGCGCAAAUGCAUGUCAAGGAAGGCCCUGUCAUAACGAGAGACGACACGCUUUUGUGCGUCGUCUAUUUACGACGCGCAUUUGUGACACACAUUUACGACGCGUGGUUAUGACACGCAAUGCGUAUCAAGGAAAGCCUUGUCAUAAAGGAAGACGACAUGCAUUUGUGUUUCGUAACCUUAUGACGCGCGUGUUUAUGACACACAACGCGUAUUAAGGAAGCCCCUGUCAUAAAUGAAGAUGACACGCAUUUACGUGUCAUAAACUUCCGUAACCAUUUACGAUAUGCAUUUACGACGCGUCUUUACGAUACUUAUUCACACAUAAUACAAAAAUAUGUAAACAAAUAUAUACUAAAGCAAUCAAUUUCAUCCAAUAACAUCAUGUCAAAAAAUUGUAAUACAUUAUAAUUAAAGGGAUCUAAUGGUACAUUGUUAUUAAGAGGUUUUCCCUAACUAUAUAACCUAAUACUACAUUGGUAUUAAAGGACACCUUCUUGUUUCUACUUCUUAUUGUUAUGCUUCUAUUUCCACAUGAUACUUGUUUUCAUCAUCAACACAUUAGUAUUCAGAAAGUCUUCAAGCAUCCUCAAUCUGUGUUAUAAAAUAUUCAAAUUUAAUGAACAUGUAGUAAAAUACCUUUUACUAACCAGGCUUCAAUACAUCCAAUACCUGUAUAAAAUAUUAAAAUUUAAUACACAUGUUGGAUUAUAAAGGUUAAUAUGAAAGAGUGAAAUAGUAAAAUAUCUUUUGACAGUUGUCAUUGCAGCAAUUCAAUACAACCCAUACCUCUAUAAAAUAUUAAAAUUAAGCUUGGAGCGAUACUCUAGACAAAAGGAUAACUUUGAAGCCCCCAUAAACUUGCAUACCUGUUUUCAAGAGAAUUUAUGUAAGAAAGAAGAAUAUAAUUCAAGUUUCCAAUAUAAAAUAUCAGUUACCUCUCUGGAUACAAAAUAUAAGUUACCUCUCCGAAAUUGACAAUGUCCUAAGGAUAGAUAAUGUGGUAAUUUGAGACAAAAAGGUCCUUAACAGAGAAAGAAAAACUAGUCACUAGUCUCUACCUACUGAAUGAAAUACAAAACAUAACAACGAAUUAAGGGAUGAUACACUUCCAGAGGGGGGCAUCCAGCUAUCAGAGUAAUCCUAAUAUAAGAAAAACUGCCAUCCAGCUAUCAGUACUAGAAAUAUCUAAAUUCUUGGUUUUUGCAGCUUCUAGAAGCUACCCAUUAAACUCAACUCCAACAAUACCAGCUAAAGUGCCAACUGUAUUUGAGACACCUAUCACAAUUCCAACAUAUCUAGGAGUAAUAUCCAUAUGAUUGACACCAAAUCCAGCUCUUCCUAAUGCAAGAAAAUCAAGAACCACUGAAGAACAAAGUAUCACCCCUUAAGUUGUUCUAAAAAGAGGAAGCAACAUUAAUGAGACUGCAGACACUAAACACCCUACAGUACUCAAAACCUUUCUUGUAUUUGUCACAAUUAAGAUUCUCUUUGUUACCAUGUGGUCAACAACAAGCCCACCAAUAAUUUAAAAAACAAACAUGUUCAGAUGUGGCAGCAUUUUAGAAGAACCCAUUUCUCAAGUUGAGCAAACUAUAAAAAAAAAAGUAAUAAAAUAAAUGAGUUAUAUCCUCAUAAUUAUGAACAAGAGAGCAACUAAGAAAGAGAAAUUGAAAUUAAAAAAUAGACCUAAAUGAACCUGAAACCUUUACAAUGAUUCGUCUUAGGAUCCGUUGGGAGCUAGACCAGCUCCAUUAUGUUACAAGACCCUACCAAUUUUUUAAUAUAGCGAUUAAUUCAUUUUUUAUUGAUCCUAAUAAUAUUAGAAUAAAAAACUUCAUUUGUAGUUAUUUUAUAGAAAAUGAAGUUGACUUGAAUAAAAUCUAUGAUUUUUUAAAAGACUUGCUAUUAUGAAAAUUUACAAAUAAAAAUUUGGUUACUUUAAAAUCUUCAUUCCAUUCCUUGAUAAAAAACAAAUGAGAAAAAAACACCCCCUUGAAUAAGGAAUGAAAAGAAUCAGAAUUGUUCAGAAACAACCAUUCCAUUCCAUCAAGUAAAAGAACUGGAUUAUUCCAUUCCAAUGGUAAAAACCAUUUCAUUAAUUUUCCAAUUCCAUCAUGAUCAUACCAAACACAAUCUAGCAGAAAAAAAUGAGGAAAAGUUACAUUUGUAUCUUGUGUUUUUCAGGCCUAGGUAAUGACCUCAAGUAAACUUCUUUCAACAAACAUAUACCUCAAAUAUCAUUCAACUACAAACACAUUAUCAACAUUCAAAUUUCAUUAUAAAAUAUUUUGAAAAAAUUAAAAUCCAUGAAUCUUUAGAUGAGGAAAAAGGGUUCAAGAAAAAGGAGAGAAGAAAACAAAAAAUUAAACAACCUCAAGUAAACUUCUAUCAAUCACACUUUUUUCUCUGUGCUUCUUUUACAUCGUGCAUCUGUCAUCUGUUCACAUAUAAUAAAAAAACAUCAACCAAAGUUUCAUUUAAUUAAUUUAUUUAUUUUUAAAAAACACCAAAUUAAUAGAAAGAAAGAAAUAUUACUUGGACUUGAGCAUCUUCUUCAGGCUCUUUACUUCCUAUCGCUUUUUCCUGAAAAGAAAAUUUUAGUCGGUUGGUUGGUUGGUGACAUGUUUGGGAUUUUUGUCACACCCCCGAACCAGACGGCGGAAACGUCCGAGGGCUCGCGUGACUUAAAUUGAAUAUCAUCACAAUGAAUAUACAUGAAUCAUAACAUAAACAUCACCAUGCAUCAAUAUAUUACAACUAAUAUUGUUCACAUCAAGUACAUUGUUUUAACAUUAAAAAUCCAUACAUAAAUUGUUUGAUAGUUUUCAAAAGUAAAACACACUAACAUACUUGGUACUUACUCCUCAGCUUACCUAUUACCUAAGAAUACAAGUUAUUUUGAAAAACGGUCAACAUAUGGAAUGUUGGUGAUUUCAUAAGUAGGUUUGGUAUGAAAUUGUUUUGUGUAGUUUGAACGAAAACAACCUAGAAAAUCGGAUAUUUUCUAAAAAGACCAGUGUUUAUAAAAAGUGUGAAGAUCCGUAAAUAUAUGCAUGAUGAUUUCAAAACAUGUAUAAUUAAAAAACUUUGUAUUAAGCGUGCAAGUGAAAUUUUUUGAACUUCCCUAGAAAACUCGAUGUUUUCCAAAAUAAAAAUAUCAUAUAACGGUUUGAAUUGGUAUCCCAUCAUGUGAAUGAUUUUGAAUUACCUUGAUUACUUGNUUAUGUGGUUCGAUAUACUGAGUUCACUAUAAACAAUGCUCUGAUACCAAUCUGUCACACCCCCAAACCAAGGAUGGCGGAAACGUUCGAGGGUGGAGGACUUCAUGUAGAGUAUCACAACAACGAGUAUAAUAGUGCUCAAAGUAAAUACAACCAUCAUAAAUAUAACUGAAAAAGUUACACCAAAGUAUAUGUUUACAUGAUUCGAAUCUAUUACAUUAUGAAACAAAAUGAACUGUUUGACGAUUUAUCGUCCCAUCCUCAAAACGUUGUUGGUUUCUUGUUUUCACUGAAUUCCUGAGAAUACAAGUAGUUUUGAAAAGUGUCAACACAAAGGUUGGUGAGUUCAUAAGAGAUUUUAUUGGAGAAAUAGACCAUUUUCCUUGUAAAAAUGAUAUGAUAUGUAUUCAGAAAAUCCGAUAUUUUCUUUAUAAAGUUUAUGUAAUGUAGUCUCAUAACCGAUGACCAAAAUGUAUAAGUAACCUUUCUUAUUAAAGGAAGAUAAAAUGUGCUUAAAUUGACAUAAACGCACUUGAAUUAAAUGAUGUUCCCGAAACUUCUAUUGUAUGUUAAUACUUGAUGUAUAUGUAGUCCUAAGUCUUAGGACCGAGAAAAUAACAAGUAUCGCCUAUACUUAAAGCUAUAAAUGUGGUUUCAAAUGAUGUGUAGACAUAAAUACCAAAAAACGAAUGUAGACAGUAAUAUCGGUACUUAUUGAGAUAAAAGUGAUUUUAAAAUCGACAUAAAAACCCAUUAAAGUUUUAUAAAAACCCCGUAAACUUUGUGUAUUGUUAUAUCCUUAUGUGAGCCGCUAUAAUCAUACUUAAGACUAAUGAACCUGCCACGACGUUUCUCAGGCGUCGAAUAACUGAAAUGACAAUUAUCACCCGUAGACCUGCAGGUCCAACUGUAGCUAGCAGCAAGGUGUGGGGUGUCAAUCCCAAUAUAGAUCUAUAUACAACUAUCACGUUCUCCAUCCGGGAGACUCUGAUUAUAACGUACAGGAUUUUAUAUUCCGCACGCGGACGUACGGAAAGAGAAUGUCUCACAAUCUAGGUUAACAAGUUUACAAGUUGUAUGCGGGAGUGUAAAACCUUUCUGUAUGAAUGUACCCCUUUUCGUACGUGUGUGUUAUGUGAUGUAUCGAAAACUAUACCUAUUAUAGUUUUAUCCAAAACGUUUGUAAUAUAUAAGAACUCUUUUAUGAAAAAGCGUUAGGAUUAUGAAAUCCAUUAAACUAUGCUUAUUAUAGUUUAUAUAUAUACAUGUUCUAAAUGAAUGAAUAAUCUUAUCAUGAAUGACUUAUUUUCAGUUUAUGAUGAUAAAAUUUACAACGUAUCACAUUCAAUACUUAGAACUUGACCUUAUACACUUUGCUCAACAUAAUACAAAGUGUUGUAAAAAUUACAAGCUGUUAACAAAUUUUCAGCCUUCCUACACUGUUUUUGAAAAUUUAUAGAAAAAUCAUACGAAGUCGAAAACUAAAUCCGUAAAUUCUGGGAGUUUCCAAAAUGUGUCUAGUUUACUCAUAAUUUUUAUCAUGAUUUUUAAUGACCUGUAACCUAGGUGAAAAAGUCCAUAAUCACAGACUGGUCCGGAUUGGUGUUUGAAAUGAUAGGCAGUUUUGUAAAAAUCACCAUAAAUUGUAGAAAAAUCGUAUGGAGAUGUGCAAGUAGUCAUUUUAAAGCUAAGAAGUGGAACUACAUGCACCUAAAACAGUUUUGAAAACUAAAAUGUUUAAGGUGUCCAAAACAGUCCGUGAAUGGAGUCCAACUUUUCUGAUGAAAGCUGUUAGAAAAUUUUAGUUAUGUUCUUGGUGUUUUAACUUGUAUUCCCCCCCUAAAAACUUAAGAAAACAUGAAAAUGUAGGGGUAUGAACUCACCUUGUGUGAUUUCAGUAGAUAAGUGUUGAAGAAGAGAAGUGUUCAACCCAAGAACACUUGAAGAAUCGCUUGAAGAUUCGAAGCUCUAACACAAAUAUAAUGGAGUUUGUGUAAGAUACCCAUGAUUUGAGUGGAAAUAAUUGAGAUAAUCUUAAAGGAAAUGGAUUAUGCUUACCAAAGGUGGAGGAAACUCUCAAGAUCAGCCCUUGAAUCUCGGAUUUCUAGAGAGAGAAAGUGAGAGAGAAAGGAGUUUGAUCUUCUUGUGAAAUGAGAACAAAUGAGAGAAAAUGAGGAGAGAGGAUGAAUAUCCAGCUCUCAAAAACGUGGGAAGGAGUGAUGAUUGAGUGGAAAGGACAUUGAUGUGACUUAGGUAAGGUGGGGAGGUAUGGCUGGUCAUAGAGUGGGUGUGGGAGUGGUUGCUUGUGUCAUAAAGUAAAGCAAAGUCAACACUCCUCCUAUUUGUACUUUUACCCACUUGCUUUUAUUAUUUAGAUAGAGAUUUUUAUGAAUUUAUGAUUAAAUUGUGAAUAUUUAGGGUUUAUUAUGUUAAAAUAUGAUUUUGGGUGAAAACCCCGCGUUAAAAUAAUUAAAAACGGGCCUUAAACGCAAAACUACGCGAAAACCGGGAGAAAAAUGUGUUCCCAGCGAGACCUCUCGGUCCUAGGCCGAGGUUCGGUCCCUAGGCCGAGGUUCGGUCAGGAGGGUGCAUGGUUCGGAAGCGAAGGCGCGAGCCAGAAGAAAGAAGCGAAGCGAGGCUGGUCCGAAGAGAAGCAGUCCGAGGCGAAGGCAAGGGGGUUCGGUCCGAAGUCUGGCUAGAACCGAAGGUACUGUUGUGAACAGUAAUGAACAGUACUUUCGGUUCGGAUUUUUCCUUCUUGCAUGGUUCGGUUCGGACCUCCUUCAAUGCCGGGUUCGGUUCGGAUGAACAGUGGUUUCGGUUCAGCUCAUGAACAGUACUUUCGGUUCAGACCCUCAUGAAUAGUGCUUUCGGUUCGGUUCAUGAAUAGUACUUUCGGUUCGGAGGGUUCGUUUCUUAAGUCCGUUUUUCGCGUAGACUUCCAUUCUUGGGCUAUUUUUCGCCAAUUUCGAGGGUCGGGAUGCCCCGAGUGAUUAUAGAAAGUCGGGGAGAGAUUUCGAGAGAGAUUUGAGAGAGAUUCCUCGUUCUCAGAGAGAUUUGGGAGAGAUUUGACGUACUUGGAGAGAUUUCACAUACAAAGAGAUACGUGAGAGAGAUUUCACAUACUUAGAGAGAUUUGGGAGAGAUUUGACAUACUUGGAGAGAUUUCACAUACAGAGAGAGAUUUGGGAGAGAUUUCACAUACUUAGGGAGAUUUGGGAGAGAUUUGACAUACUUGGAGAGAUUUCACAUACAGAGAGAGAUUUGGGAGAGAUUUCACAUACUUAGGGAGAUUUGGGAGAGAUUUGACAUACUUGGAGAGAUUUCACAUACAGAGAGAGAUUUGGGAGAGAUUUCACAUACUUAGGGCUUUGGGAGAGAGAUUUGACAUACUUGGAGAGAUUUCACAUACGGAGAGAGAUUUGGGAGAGAUUUCACAUACUUAGGGAGAUUUGGGAGAGAUUUGACAUUCUUGGAGAGAUUUCACAUACGGAGAGAGAUUUGGGAGAGAUUUCACAUACUUAGGGAGAUUUGGGAGAGAUUUGACAUUCUUGGAGAGAUUUCACAUACGGAGAGAGAUUUGGGAGAGAUUUCACAUACUUAGGGAGAUUUGGGAGAGAUUUGACAUUCUUGGAGAGAUGUGGGAGAGGUUUCACAUACUUAGAGAUAUGUGGGAGAGGUUUCAUUGGUGACCUUUUUGAGUGUCCGGCUACGCACUGCAAGGUCCUUAAACCCCGUUAAGCCUUGAUUAGGGAUCUUGCAUACUCCCGGUGAGUAUGUAACAUUGUUUUAUCGGUUUGGCUCUCCACGUACCACCGUUUUAGGUUAAGGAGAUUUAGGUGAACGCACUUUUCGAUUUAUGAUCUCUCAUUAGAAUAGAGAGUUGUUUAGAAGUUAUGCAACGUAAACUCUAGUACUCACGACAAAUUGGGUUGACCGGUUUGACUUGUUGACUUUUGUUGACUUUGACUUGACCGAAAAUUGACGGUUGUCAUAUAGUUUGUCUGUCUUAGCAUUCUGGUGAACGUCGGAAUUAAUCUUAAGAUUUGUCACCCUAGACUGGCCGAGUUUAACUGUCGCGAAGAGCUGAGGUGUGGGGGAGUCACCCUCAUAUAGAUCUAUACACAAACUCUCGCUCUCCCUCCAGGAGACUAUGAUUAUAACUACAGACUGUGACCGACACACGUUGGUGUCACCCAUUAUUACUCACUAAAUCCCAAUUGACUUGAUUACUAUAGAUUAUCGACCUGUAUUUGUUUACUUGGACCUUACUAGCAGUAAAAACGCGCCACUAAGGCCCAAUAGCAUUUAAAAGACAUUGAGGGUCCCUUAAAUAUUAAAUUUGGUCGUAGGAGGCGCAAUAACAUUUAUUAUUAUUCCUUGGGCUCAAAAUCAUGUUAGUGGGUCACAAAGGCCCAAUAGACAUGAUUGGACUUGCAAGCCCAAAGUUUGGAUUGUUUACUUUUUUUUAGGAAUUGUAUAAUUGUUGGAAGGUUUGAUUGGACGAUUGUUAUUUUGGAUCGGCACAAGGUCGCUCGGUUGUUGUUAAUGAUUUUUAGUAUUAUACAUAUAUUCAUCUUCAUGAGUUGUAGUUUUUUAUUUUUGAAUCAAACGUCUUAAUACUAAAAGAAUUGAUUCAAAAUAUUGGUUUGACCCAUUUCAGCCCUUCUUUAAUAAAGAUGACAAUUUUAGUCCCUUAUAUAAAAAAAGGCAUUUUAGCCCCCUUAAACCAUUUUCUGGACACAUUUGACCCAUAGACUUGUUCAAGUGAUAUUUUGGCUCAAAACUUAUUCUUUGGUAGUUUCAGCCCUUCCAGAAAAGUAUUUUUCAGUUAAAUUCCAAACUUUUUGCAACUUUUACAAUUUUGGCCCAAAAUCCAAACACUUUACAUUUUUGAUCCUUUUUGGCAAAGAAAAGCAUUUUAACCCUUGAAAUAAUUUUGUUUAACUCUUUAUCCCCUGUUUUGAGGAAUUUAUCAUUUCAUCCCUUUGAAAAUCAUGUUUUUCGCAACUUUGGGAUUAAUGGGCCAAAAAGCCCAAAAAUUGGCCCAUUAAGCUAAUAUUUACAUUUCAAGUCCUUUGAAGAGCAUAAUUUUCAUAAAAACAUUUAUUUUAACUGUUUUGACUCUUUUGACCCUCAAGAAAACCAUGAAUGGCAACUUUUCACCCAACUUUUGUUUAUUUGACAAUUUAAGCCCUAAAAAUAGGUUUUAUGUUACAAUAUGUUGAUUUUAAAUCUUAGAGGGUGUUUUUCUUGACUUGUUUAGUGUAGCAUACCGUAGAUAAUGUUUUUUUCCUUAUUAUGUCAUAGACCUCGAGAUUUCUAUCAUUUUUGUUUACAUAUUCAACACAUGAGCACAUAAAUUCACACAUACAUACAUGAAAUCAUACAUAGCAUACACAUAUACAUAGAUCUACACAUUUUACUUGUAUUCUCCCCCAUAAAACUUGUAAAAACCGAAAAGAGAGGGGUAUGAACUCACAUUUGCUUGUUGAUUUCGAUUUGAAGAAGAAAGGGAAGAAGUUUGAUGCUAUUUUCGGCCCUUAGCAAGCUUUCUUGGGUGGAUCUCGAACUUAGAGGAUUCUAAGAUGAUGAUCAUGAGUUUAUAUGAGUUAAGAAGAGAUUUUUGAUAGAACAAAGAGUCUAGAUUAUGGAUCCAAGCAUCAACAUACCUAAGAUGAUGAUUUUUGUGGAAUAACCUUCUUGAAAAGCUCUAGAUCUCGAAAAUUUUGAUAGAGAAAUGAAGAAGUUGUUGUGAGCUCUUGAGAAAUGUUUAAGUGAUAUUUUGGGUGUGGGUUUUUCCCUUUUGGCCGAGGAUUAAGAAGAAGAAGAAGGAGAGAGAGAGAGAGAGAGAGAGAGAGAGUUGCAUGGAUGUAUGGGAAGGUGCAUGGAAAUCCAUAAGAUAAUAAGGAGGUGGAUAACCCUCCUUAUUUCACUAGUUUCUCCUUUUUUUGUUUUCUUCUUGGGCCGAGAAAAGAGAGAAAAAGGAAAGAUUUUGGGCCCUUUUGUGCUUAAGUCCAUAUCAUGGGCCCAUCUUGAUGAUUUUCGGCCCAUUGGCCCUUUUUGAGAAAUUUACGGCCCAAUAUCCAUCAAGUAUGAUUUUUUAUGGCCCAUUAGGGCUAAUUAGGUUAGUUAUGGCCCAAUAAGGUCCAUUAAGGUAUUUUAUUUCAUUCUAGGCCCAAUAUGGCCCAAAAUAUUAAAAUAAAUGGAAGUGGGUCCAAAUAGAUCUUAUUUAAGAGUUCUAAGCCCAAAAUAGUCAAAUUGGAAGCUUAUUGGCCCAUUAGGCACAAUAAGGAAAUUCUAGUCCAUAAUGGACUUAAACUGGGGUUUCUAGGGUUUCCAAUUAUUUGUUGAUUAUUUGCAGUGCUUGUAUAAAGUGUUUGAUGGAAGUUUUGAUGUUAUUGAAUUAGCAUCGUACAUGCUUUCACAUUUUUGGUUCACAAUUGUUAUCAUUGUUGUUGUCACAUGGUAUAGAAUUCCUAGUUGUGACAUCAUCCCCCCGUUAGAGGGAAUUUCGUCCCGAAAUUCUUUCUAAAGCUAGAUUUGAGAAUGCGAGAACAGGUGAGGGUACUUCUGCUUCAUCUGGUCUUCGCAUUCCCAUGUGAGUUCUGGCACACGCUUCGUGUUCCACCGUACCUUCACAAUCGGAAUGCGACUUUGCUUAGCACGCUUCACCUCCCUAUCCAUGAUUUCGAUUGGUUCUUCGACGAACAAGAGAUUCUGGUUGAUUUCGAUUUCUUCAAGGGGAAUGACGAGGGUUUCAUUGGUUAAACACUUUUUCAAAUUGGAAACAUGGAACACCGGGUGUACACUGCUGAGAUCAGCGGGUAGCUGCAAUCUAUAAACCACUGGACCGAUUCGGGCAAGAAUCUCGAAAGGUCCGAUAUAUCGUGGAUUCAACUUUCCCUGUUUUCCAAAACGAAUAACCCCUUUCCAAGGACAGACUUUUAACAGCACCCGAUCCCUGACUUGAAACUCCAAGGGCUUCCGCCGUUUAUCAGCGUAGCUCUUCUGUCGAUCACGUGAUGCUCGUAAUCGAGCUCUGAUUUGAACUAUCUUUUCCAUCAUUUAACGUAUGAUAUUGUUGGAUUAUUGUCUAAGUCCAUAACUACAAUUAGUAAGACUUGACCCGACCCGGCAUGGUCAAUUUGGGUUGAAUGGCAUCAUGCAUUUGGAUAGACUAAAAUGAGAGAAAUAACACUUAAGGUUUGUUAGUAUAUUAUAAAUUCUAAUAUAUUAAUAAGGUUAUUUAAUUAGUAUUGAUCAAGAAUUAAUUUGGAAUUAAUUAAGUGAUCAAAAGGAGACUAAUUAAAUAUAUGGGUUGAUUGUGUAAAUCAUUCAUUCUUAUAUAUGUGGGCUUGUGAUCCAAGAUUCCUUAUGUUGGACUAAGUCCAUAGGGUGACCCAUGGAUGCUCCAUGGAGGUUAAAAUCCAUGGAGCAUAAGGAAUGGGUAAAGUCAUGAGUUACAUGGUGUAACCCUAAUAGCCACCAUAUAAAAGAAUCCCAUGGCUCAAGAAAUCGUGAACUAUGUGUGAGUGUGAGGGCUAAACGGUUUCAUGGAGUGUUCAAGUUUCUCUCAAGUUAUUCCAAGGGUAUUUGGUGUUGUGUGAACCAUUUGAGGUGUCACACUUGGGGCAAUAGGCACUCAAGCUUCAUGGCGACUUUCUACAUUAAGAGGUAUGUAUUCUAUCUUGUUGUAUUCGAUGUUUUGUAUGCUAGAUUAGGAUAAUACCUUGGAUGUUCAUAUUUGCAUUUAUAAUUGAGAAAACAUAGAUCCAAGGUAUUUAAGGUUGCAUGUACACUUAGGAGUGUUAGAAUUCUCAAAACCCAACAGUGGUAUCAGAGCCACGAGUUGUUUUCAGUUAUAUUGAUGCAAAUAUUUUAUUUUCAAAGUUGAAAAAAAAAAGAAAAAAAACAUGAAGCUUGUCAAAUUUUAAGAUAAUUACUUGUUCUUGUGAAAAACUAAUUAUUUGUAAAAUUUGAAUAAUUUGCUUUAUGAGUUGACUUAGGUCAAAUUUAAUAAAAGAUAAAAUGAUAUGAUUAUUUUAUUAGUUUUAAAAUUUUGAUCUAAAGAGUUUUAUUUUUUGAAACCUCCAUAAGUUAUGGAUAUGAAAAGGUUUUAAAAAAAAAAUUGAUUCAAAGUUUUUUUGGAGUUACAAAAUUUGGUGUUAAUGUUUUAAAGGAUUCCAUAACUUAAGAAUAAGUUAUGGAUCACCAAAAGUUUUUUGUGUUACCUUGUUUUAUGAGUGAAUUUAGAUUAAUGAAUAAAAUUAUGUGAUAGUUGGUUUUAAUCCAAAUUAAUCUAAGAAUUGAUUCUAAAAUGUGUUUUUGUAACUUGUCCUCAAGUUAUAUGAAAAGUCACAUUUAAGAAUCAUAAAACUCAUAAAAAUUGGCAAAGGUUACAAAAAUGAAGAGUCUAGUUCUAAUUAAAUGGUUUUAUGACUCCAUAACUUGUCCUCAAGUUAUGGAGGACCAAGAGUCUCUUCAUUUAAUAAAAUAAAAUAAAAAAAAAAAAAGUGUAACCUUAAUUAAUUCCAUAAGUUAUAAAAUAAAGAAAAGUUAAUUCUUUUAUUAGUUUAAAGUCUUCCAUAACUUGUCCUCAAGUUAUGGAACUUGAAGAGUUUUUGGAUUAAAACUACUUUAAACACAUAAGUUAUGGAAUUAAUUAGUUUUGAAUAGUUUCAAAACUUGCCCUCAAGUUUUGGAAUUUGUAAAGUUUUCACUUAUGAAUACUUUAAUUCCAAGUUAGCCCUUAGAAUUUUAAAAGUUAAAAUUCAACCCUUAUACUUUAUAAUAUUAUAAGUUAAUAAUAUAUAUAUGUAUAAGAGUAAAGUCAGUCUUACCGCUAGUACGCCUCAUUCACGAAGCCGGUCUAUAAGGUGGGUAUAAGGUUGUUGCCUAUAAAAUGGCAACUUAAUGGGUGUCCACUCUCACCCACCGCUUGCUUGACUGGUGGAGGGUCGUUAGCCGAACGGGUUUGACAGGACUAGAAUUCUCCCUUCAUUAAAAGUAUUAAUGAUAAUACUAAGUAACUAAACUCUUAAUAAUACCCAAUCUUAGUUACUUAGGAAAAAUGUGAAUAAGGUGCUAAUCCAUGAAAUUACACUUUACACUUUGUCUAAGUCGUUAGUGGAGCGUGUGUGGUUAACCGGCACACUAACUUGGACUUAACAAGGUAGGUAAAGGGUGACUUAAUAUUUAUCAUAGUAUCGAUGGAGCGUGUGUGGUUAACCGGCACAUCGAUUGAGGGGUAAUUUAUUAAGGGUACCAAGUGAUUUGCAUGGUUACUUCACACCUUGUUUUGUGAUCCUCGGCAUCCCAGUCACAAAACCUGAAGGGCACACUCGAGAUUGAAACAUGCCUUUGAAAAGUUCAAUGAAUCUCAAAGAUCUAGGAGUUUCAAAACCAAUUAAAACCUAAUAAUACAUUUCGUUUAUCUUGGUGGAAAUUGGUGAAUCGUCAUUCACCUACCUUCAAAUAUUUUAUAGCUUGGAUUACGGCAUCCCUCUUCUAAGUUAUAAAAUAGUUUGUUGGGUCCUAGCCUUAAUAUUUCAUAUUGGGUGUCAUAUUAAGGACUUAAGAUCAACUAUCUUGAAUAUCCCCAAAAAGAUGUCUGGUUUAGACAUUUAUGAUCUUCCUAAAUCUCUUGAAACAAGCUUUCCUAAAUGAAGAUGAUGUCCCAUGGAAGUCAUACUUCUUUCACCUCCUCCAAUUAUUCUCCCUAACCCACAAGUUCUUGAAAAUUUUAAGGUCACUCAAGCCCUAUUGGCAAGCAAAGGUCUAUGUGUGAUCACAUCUUGGAGAUGUAGUCACAUAUUGACAAGCCGGGAGAGUUGGGUGUCAAAGUGUUGAGAAAGUUGGUGCCUCAACUACUUUCUAAGUCACAUAGUGAGUUCCUUUGGGACUCCUAUGAAACAGACUAUGACAAGAACCUUAAUGAUCUUAUCUAUUUGCUAAGAUCAACUUCCUAAAACUUGUGGACAUUGACAAUAAUGACAUUGGAUAUCCAAUAAAGCUCUCUCUUCCCAAUGGAAAGGGACCGGCCAUAGUCAACUUGGCUGACCAAAUGGUAAAGAGAGGCUAAGUCUGAGAUAGUCCCAUUAUCAAGGGUCCAUAGGUAACUAUUGACAAAGGAAGGGGCAUUGGUUGCGAAGCUUCCAAAUUUACCUAAGGAUGUUAAAGUCAAUAAGUUUGGCUCUACUUCAGGUAAAGUCCAUUGUCUAACUCUACUAAGUACAUGCUGAUUCUAAUCGCGAAGAUGGAUUUCAAUCGCAUGGUUCGGUGAUCAGAAUUUUGGGCUAUUACCUAAGAGUUAUGAUAUUUAUAUUGCUUAGGAAUAGAUAACAACAAGGUUUUCAUAUGGAUUGUAAGGAUAAGUUUUCCGCAAAGUUUUAAAUUAAAAGAAAAAGGUUUUGAUUUUAUUUAUCUUAAGUAUCCUUACAAUGGCAUUUGUGAAAAGUUGUUGCUUAUAAGAUUCCACUGAUAGCAAUAUUGGAAAGUGAAUUUCAUUCUUUCAUUUGUGGUAGUGUAUAAAUUUACCAAAUAAGGAAAUAUUCUCAUCACCCAAGUUUCAGUUGGAUAGAAACUUGGAAUCAUGCAAGUUGUAUAGCAUGAUGAAUGAGAACUUUAAAGCAUUGAAAAAAAUUAAGACUAACUACUUGUUCACAUGGAUGUGUGAGUCAAGUGAAGGACUAAGGGAUCGAGUACAGAUUAUUGUGCACUGGUCAAGUCCACCACAGCAGAUCGAUAUGACUAUUCGUCAUGGUUUACUAAAGCUCAGUAAAUAUGAUUAUAAUUACAAGCUUAAGUGUAUCUCUGAGACAUUGGAAAAGGUUCCAAUGUAUGGCAGAGCGAAUAAGAAGAAUCAAAUUAGGCAGAAGGAUAAAAGUUUUUGAAAUCUGAAAAGAUGGGAGAGUACUUUAGUAUCAGUUUUGUGAUCAUCUUAGUGAUUAAGAAACCAUAGCACAAUUAGUUCUCCAAUGAAAUCUUAGUGCAUUCUUAUGACUAAGACGAGGAAUCUUGAAUAGUUGAAAUGGUUAAAUCAAGAAAAUGAGUCAUACUUCGUUCCAAUACAAGUCUUAGACUCAUACUCCAAGAUUGUAAUUUGAGUGACAUGUCUUAAAGAAGGUUUAAAACAUUUGUCAAAUGUAAGAGUAAAAGUUUCCUACUCUUAUACAUUUGAAAUUGGUAAGUUGUGAUGUUUUGGAUAAAACAAAGACCAACUAAGGCCAAUUAUGUGAAGUGUUUGUCUUGAUUAGAAUCCACACUAUCUCUUGGAUAUUUGACAAGGGAGUCUUAUAGGUCAAGAGGACAGUGGGAGUCUUAAAGGUCUUGAAAGUCUCAAGAACUAAUCAAGAAUAAAACCUGAAGUUCUUCACUAGCACACGACUUGAGGUUUAUAACCUAUCAUGUUGGCAUAUUUUGUGCCCAUUCCAGUUAAAGUUGGUUGUGCAUAUGAUUUUUUAGAGUUCUCAAUUGGUUGCACAACAACUUGGAAGCAAUGGCAGGCCCUUGAGCUGCUAGGUGGCAAGAAAUUAAGAUUGAGUUCAAUCCAUAUGAGUUUGGAUUUGUCAUUAUCCUUGUCUUGUGAUUAUGGUUUUGACAAAUUCAUAUGGGUAGGAACUCAUACACCAUAAAAAUCUAAGUGUCAUAAGGUUUCUCUCCGAUUCAUGAAAAUGAUGGUGAGGAAACACUUUCACUAAGUAGAUUUUAGCUAGAUAGCAAUUGUGAUAUUUGCAUUCUCAAAGUCGUUAGUGGAGCGUGUGUGGUUUACCGGCACACUAACCUGGACUUGUGAGAAGUGGCAAAAAGGUCUAACCAUUAUGAUUACGGCAUCCCUCUUCAUAAUUGUUUAGACACACAAGUGUGCUAUCUAAGGGAAGGUGUAUGAUUUUGAUAAAGUUUUAUCAAAACAAUCUAG
Molecule: long non-coding RNA, 22377 nt
Filed under: Lactuca sativa (garden lettuce)
Lineage: Eukaryota; Viridiplantae; Streptophyta; Magnoliopsida; Asterales; Asteraceae
Description: long non-coding RNA (LSAT_LNC003787)
Source: RNAcentral